UCUACGGGAGGCAGCAGUGGGGAAUAUUGCACAAUGUGGGAAACCCUGAUGCAGCGACGCCGCGUGAGUGAAGAAGUAUUUCGGUAUGUAAAGCUCUAUCAGCCGGGAAGAAAUAGCGACCUUUGGGUCGCCAGACGGUACCUGACUAAGAAGCCCCGGCUAACUACGUGCCAGCAGCCGCGGUAAUACGUAGGGGGCAAGCGUUAUCCGGAUUUACGGUGUGGAAAGGGAGCGUAGACGGCAGCACAAGUCUGAAGUGAAAUGCCGGGGCUUAACCCCGGAACUGCUUUGGAAACUGUGCAGCUAGAGUGCAGGACAGGUAAGUGGAAUUCCUAGUGUAGCGGUGAAAUGCGUAGAGAUUAGGAGGAACACCAGUGGCGAAGGCGGCUUACUGGACUGUAACUGACGUUGAGGCUCGAAAGCGUGGGGAGCAAACAGGAGUAGAUACCCUGGUAGUC
This 458-nucleotide ribosomal RNA is filed under the name uncultured bacterium. RNAcentral's name for it is "partial 16S ribosomal RNA". It matches the Rfam family "Bacterial small subunit ribosomal RNA", at positions 338 to 795 of the family's 1533-position model. The record is from RNAcentral.